UACGGAGGUGGCAAGCGUUGUCCGGAUUUACUGGGCGUAAAGAGCGCGCAGGCGGCUGGUCAAGUCCGAUGUGAAAUCUCCCGGCUUAACUGGGAAACUGCAUCGGAAACUGAUCGGCUUGAAGGUGGGAGAGGGUAGUGGAAUUCCCGGUGUAGUGGUGAAAUGCGUAGAUAUCGGGAGGAACACCAGUGGCGAAGGCGACUACCUGGCCCAUUCUUGACGCUGAGGCGCGAAAGCUAGGGGAGCGAACGGG
RNAcentral lists this ribosomal RNA (253 nucleotides) under uncultured bacterium. Its description in RNAcentral is "partial 16S ribosomal RNA". It matches the Rfam family "Bacterial small subunit ribosomal RNA", at positions 524 to 776 of the family's 1533-position model. The record is from RNAcentral.